RNAcentral lists this ribosomal RNA (463 nucleotides) under uncultured Comamonadaceae bacterium. Its description in RNAcentral is "bacterial SSU rRNA". It matches the Rfam family "Bacterial small subunit ribosomal RNA", at positions 30 to 486 of the family's 1533-position model. Lineage: Bacteria; Pseudomonadati; Pseudomonadota; Betaproteobacteria; Burkholderiales; Comamonadaceae. The record is from RNAcentral.
AUUGAACGCUGGCGGAAUGCUUUACACAUGCAAGUCGAACGGCAGCACGGACUUCGGUCUGGUGGCGAGUGGCGAACGGGUGAGUAAUGUAUCGGAACGUGCCCAGUCGUGGGGGAUAACGUAGUGAAAAUUACGCUAAUACCGCAUACGAUCUAUGGAUGAAAGCGGGGGAUCGCAAGACCUCGCGCGAUUGGAGCGGCCGAUAUCAGAUUAGGUAGUUGGUAGGGUAAAGGCCUACCAAGCCAACGAUCUGUAGCUGGUCUGAGAGGACGACCAGCCACACUGGAACUGAGACACGGUCCAGACUCCUACGGGAGGCAGCAGUGGGGAAUUUUGGACAAUGGGCGAAAGCCUGAUCCAGCCAUUCCGCGUGCAGGAUGAAGGCCCUCGGGUUGUAAACUGCUUUUGUACAGAACGAAAAGGUUUCUACUAAUACUAGGAGCUCAUGACGGUACUGUAAGAA